This 253-nucleotide ribosomal RNA is filed under the name uncultured bacterium. RNAcentral describes it as "partial 16S ribosomal RNA". It matches the Rfam family "Bacterial small subunit ribosomal RNA", at positions 524 to 776 of the family's 1533-position model. The record is from RNAcentral.
UACGUAGGGGGCGAGCGUUGUCCGGAGUUACUGGGCGUAAAGCGCACGCAGGCGGUCUGCUAAGUUUGGAGUGACAGUUGGUUGCUUAACUGCCAAAGUGCUUCGAAAACUGACAGACUUGAGGGCUUCAGAGGGACACGGAAUUCCAGGUGUAGCGGUGAAAUGCGCAGAUAUCGGGAAGAACACCCGUGGCGAAGGCGGCUCUCUGGGACGGUACUGACGCUGAGACGCGAAAGCGUGGGGAGCGAACAGG